Molecule: ribosomal RNA, 465 nt
Filed under: uncultured bacterium
Lineage: Bacteria
Description: partial 16S ribosomal RNA
Rfam family: Bacterial small subunit ribosomal RNA
Source: RNAcentral
GAUGAACGCUGGCGGCGUGCUUAACACAUGCAAGUCGAACGGAAAGGCUCCUGCUUGCAGGGGUACUCGAGUGGCGAACGGGUGAGUAACACGUGGGUGAUCUGCCCUGCACUUCGGGAUAAGCCUGGGAAACUGGGUCUAAUACCGGAUAGGACGAUGGUUUGGAUGCCAUUGUGGAAAGUUUUUCGGUGGUGGCUGAGCUCGCGGCCUAUCAGCUUGUUGGUGGGGGAAUGGCUUACCAAGGCGUCGACGGGUAGCCGGCCUGAGAGGGUGUACGGCCACAUUGGGACUGAGAUACGGCCCAGACUCCUACGGGAGGCAGCAGUGGGGAAUAUUGCACAAUGGGCGCAAGCCUGAUGCAGCGACGCCGCGUGGGGGAUGACGGCCUUCGGGUUGUAAACUCCUUUCGCUAGGGACGAAGCGCAAGUGACGGUACCUGGAGAAGAAGCACCGGCUAACUACGUG